This is a non-coding RNA of Pelobates cultripes (western spadefoot toad), 319 nucleotides long. NCBI's taxonomy places the organism in Eukaryota, Metazoa, Chordata, Amphibia, Anura, Pelobatidae. The record is from the annotation of a GenBank genome assembly.
GUUAAGUAUAAGGAAUUCCAACAGCAGUAGUGAUUGCACAAUGUGCUUAUGCUUGUUUAGAAUUGUUUAGAAGAACUGCUCUGUCAUUGAAUAAGUGUUGCUUCCUGAGAUGAUAUCAGUUCACAUUCGGUGAGCGGUCUGUUGGUCCUGGCUAAGUUUGGAGAGAAAAAACAGCCCCACCUUAUUUUUGAGUGAAAGUAGGAUUUGAACGACAUGCACAUUCCUCACAUUGUUAGUUUUUCUUUUUCACGCACGACUUCUUGAAACUAAGAUGAUGUUUCAACCGUUGCAAAUUGUAACAGUAUUCAUUGUCGAUAAG